GAUGAACGCUAGCUACAGGCUUAACACAUGCAAGUCGAGGGGAAACGAUAUUGGAAGCUUGCUUCCGAUAGGCGUCGACCGGCGCACGGGUGAGUAACGCGUAUCCAACCUGCCCAUCACUUGGGGAUAACCUUGCGAAAGUAAGACUAAUACCCAAUGACGUCUCUAGAAGACAUCUGAAAGAGAUUAAAGAUUUAUCGGUGAUGGAUGGGGAUGCGUCUGAUUAGCUUGUUGGCGGGGUAACGGCCCACCAAGGCAACGAUCAGUAGGGGUUCUGAGAGGAAGGUCCCCCACAUUGGAACUGAGACACGGUCCAAAACUCCUACGGGAGGCAGCAGUGAGGAAUAUUGGUCAAUGGGCGAGAGCCUGAACCAGCCAAGUAGCGUGCAGGAUGACGGCCCUAUGGGUUGUAAACUGCUUUUAUAAGGGAAUAAAGUGAGCCACGUGUGGCUUUUUGCAUGUACCCUAUGAAUAAGGUACAUGCAAAAAAGUCU
This 494-nucleotide ribosomal RNA is filed under the name uncultured bacterium. RNAcentral's name for it is "bacterial SSU rRNA". It matches the Rfam family "Bacterial small subunit ribosomal RNA", at positions 28 to 508 of the family's 1533-position model. The record is from RNAcentral.